Molecule: ribosomal RNA, 389 nt
Filed under: uncultured bacterium
Lineage: Bacteria
Description: bacterial SSU rRNA
Rfam family: Bacterial small subunit ribosomal RNA
Source: RNAcentral
AACGCGAAGAACCUUACCUGGGUUUGACAUGCACGUAGUAGUGAAGCGAAAGCGGAUCGAUCCUUCGGGAAGCGUGCACAGGUGCUGCAUGGCUGUCGUCAGCUCGUGCCGUGAGGUGUUCGGUUAAGUCCGGUAACGAGCGCAACCCUCGCUGUUUAGUUACAUGUGUCUAACGGGACUGCCGGUUUAAUGCCGGAGGAAGGUGGGGAUGACGUCAAGUCAGCAUGGCCUCUAUAUCCAGGGCUACACACACGCUACAAUGGCCGGUACAAUGGGUUGCCAAGCCGCGAGGCGGAGCUAAUCCUCCAAAGCCGGUCUCAGUUCGGAUUGCAGNCACUCGACUGCAUGAAGUCGGAGUUGCUAGAACCGCAGUCAGCCAUCUGCGUNAU